GGCGUGUGACUGCGUACCUUUUGUAUAAUGGGUCAGCGACUUAUAUUCUGUAGCAAGGUUAACCGAAUAGGGGAGCCGAAGGGAAACCGAGUCUUAACUGGGCGUUAAGUUGCAGGGUAUAGACCCGAAACCCGGUGAUCUAGCCAUGGGCAGGUUGAAGGUUGGGUAACACUAACUGGAGGACCGAACCGACUAAUGUUGAAAAAUUAGCGGAUGACUUGUGGCUGGGGGUGAAAGGCCAAUCAAACCGGGAGAUAGCUGGUUCUCCCCGAAAGCUAUUUAGGUAGCGCCUCGUGAAUUCAUCUCCGGGGGUAGAGCACUGUUUCGGCAAGGGGGUCAUCCCGACUUACCAACCCGAUGCAAACUGCGAAUACCGGAGAAUGUUAUCACGGGAGACACACGGCGGGUGCUAACGUCCGUCGUGAAGAGGGAAACAACCCAGACCGCCAGCUAAGGUCCCAAAGUCAUGGUUAAGUGGGAAACGAUGUGGGAAGGCCCAGACAGCCAGGAUGUUGGCUUAGAAGCAGCCAUCAUUUAAAGAAAGCGUAAUAGCUCACUGGUCGAGUCGGCCUGCGCGGAAGAUGUAACGGGGCUAAACCAUGCACCGAAGCUGCGGCAGCGACGCUUAUGCNAAGCGUAAUAGCUCACUGGUCGAGUCGGCCUGCGCGGAAGAUGUAACGGGGCUAAACCAUGCACCGAAGCUGCGGCAGCGACACUAUGUNGGAGCGUUCUGUAAGCCUGCGAAGGUGUGCUGUGAGGCAUGCUGGAGGUAUCAGAAGUGCGAAUGCUGACAUAAGUAACGAUAAAGCGGGUGAAAAGCCCGCUCGCCGGAAGACCAAGGGUUCCUGUCCAACGUUAAUCGGGGCAGGGUGAGUCGACCCCUAAGGCGAGGCCGAAAGGCGUAGUCGAUGGGAAACAGGUUAAUAUUCCUGUACUUGGUGUUACUGCGAAGGGGGGACGGAGAAGGCUAUGUUGGCCGGGCGACGGUUGUCCCGGUUUAAGCGUGUAGGCUGGUUUUCCAGGCAAAUCCGGAAAAUCAAGGCUGAGGCGUGAUGACGAGGCACUACGGUGCUGAAGCAACAAAUGCCCUGCUUCCAGGAAAAGCCUCUAAGCAUCAGGUAACAUCAAAUCGUACCCCAAACCGACACAGGUGGUCAGGUAGAGAAUACCAAGGCGCUUGAGAGAACUCGGGUGAAGGAACUAGGCAAAAUGGUGCCGUAACUUCGGGAGAAGGCACGCUGAUAUGUAGGUGAAGCGACUUGCUCGUGGAGCUGAAAUCAGUCGAAGAUACCAGCUGGCUGCAACUGUUUAUUAAAAACACAGCACUGUGCAAACACGAAAGUGGACGUAUACGGUGUGACGCCUGCCCGGUGCCGGAAGGUUAAUUGAUGGGGUUAGCCGCAAGGCGAAGCUCUUGAUCGAAGCCCCGGUAAACGGCGGCCGUAACUAUAACGGUCCUAAGGUAGCGAAAUUCCUUGUCGGGUAAGUUCCGANGCGAAGCUCUUGAUCGAAGCCCCGGUAAACGGCGGCCGUAACUAUAACGGUCCUAAGGUAGCGAAAUUCCUUGUCGGGUAAGUUCCGACCUGCACGAAUGGCGUAAUGAUGGCCAGGCUGUCUCCACCCGAGACUCAGUGAAAUUGAACUCGCUGUGAAGAUGCAGUGUACCCGCGGCAAGACGGAAAGACCCCGUGAACCUUUACUAUAGCUUGACACUGAACAUUGAGCCUUGAUGUGUAGGAUAGGUGGGAGGCUU
Molecule: ribosomal RNA, 1753 nt
Filed under: Escherichia coli
Lineage: Bacteria; Pseudomonadati; Pseudomonadota; Gammaproteobacteria; Enterobacterales; Enterobacteriaceae
Description: bacterial LSU rRNA
Rfam family: Bacterial large subunit ribosomal RNA
Source: RNAcentral